Molecule: long non-coding RNA, 425 nt
Organism: Cyprinus carpio (common carp)
Lineage: Eukaryota; Metazoa; Chordata; Actinopteri; Cypriniformes; Cyprinidae
Exons: 4
Source: RefSeq, a predicted model, not a curated record
CGGAGCCAGAGGGGUGGCUUGGGGUGGCCCACGCCACCCCUGAGAUUCGAUUGGCCACCCCAGGUGCCACCCCAAAAUCCUACUCUACGAUUGGUCAUUAACGUGGUCAAAGGCGGAACCUUUGUUGACGCACUUUGCUGCCUUUAAAUCAGCGCGGGAGCUUGGACAGUCAGACACCAGAACUCAGAAAUAUUCAGACAAGGGUGGUGGAGACACUUCAGAUCCUUAUAAGGGUCCAUCAUCAUCAUCUUGUCUCACUGGUUGUCCACGUGCAGCUACAAACCCAACCCCUGGACCUCAUGACAUCUCCCAAUCAAGGGCAGCAGAUCCAACUCAACCUGUGCUGAGGAUGUUUCCCAAGACCACACAAGGUCAGAAAAGAAGGGCAUUCAACCCGCAGUGGUACAGCAAGUAUUCUUGGUUAG